AUAAAAUAUCCCAAUGGUGAAAUUUCCAACAUUUAUAAGUCUAAGGAAUUUUGAGGUUUACAGAGUCAAGUCCAUAAAACUGGAUCCUGUUUGGCCUGUGUAGUCAAGGAAAGCCCCUGGGGCUUUUUCCUUGAGAUACAGCUUGCUGACAGCUCUCAUCCAUUGCUUAUUAUCCCUAGCCUACCCUCUCCCUGUUCCCUUUGCUGCUUCUCCAUUCUUUCCCUCACUGUCUUCCUAGAUCAUAUCUCUUUUAUUUUGGGGAUACAACAGUCUAGGUCUAUCACAUCAUCUAAAAACAGAGAAGUAUAGAUAUUUUGACACAAAAUUUGAAGUCAGGUUUUUCUCACUCUUAGUCCAACACUAAUCACUAUGGAAUGUCAGGCAUUGCAUUCAUCGAUGUUGCCAAAACACAUUCCAAAAUGUCCUACCAUGGCCUUCAUGCCCAGGAUCAUGUUCACACUUCUUUCAUAUUCUCUCCCCAUUACAAAAGGUGGCUAGCAGACCUCAGAUUUGUCACUGUCCUGGCCAGUCUCACUUGGCUUUCCUGGAUACAAAUGGGAGGCUAAUGGUUCCUUACCUUAAACUUCCCAACCGAGACCCAGUGUCAGAGUGCAAGAUCUACCAAAAUAAUGAGGAAAAAGGUCAAAGAAGCUGAAAUAUUUGGAACUUAUUCCUAUCAAUUUGGAAAUUAAUUUUAAGACAACUGGAACUGGAUGACCAAGGAAGGAAGCCUGUCAAUGCUCCCGGAUGUGCCCGAGGGAUUGCUCUGGCACACACACCUCUCUCAGUGGCAAGGCCUCACUUCCAACUAGAGAUGAGGAAAGAGCUCCCCUUGGGCCAUGAAGGCUCAGGGAAAAUUAGUCACAAUUAGCUUAGAUUCCCAGAAUAAAACCAUAUCUGAGCUUGAAGAUCACCUUCAACAUUCUCAUUCUCAUCUUGUAGGGCAAGAAACACCUAAGGAAAUGGAAGAACCCAAAGCAGGGAAUUCGAGAAUCUUCUGUAAAGGCGCCACUGUCCAAACCUACCAUUGUUACCUCCAACAAUACUGCAGUGGAGACCAAGGACUUCUCAUUGACAUGCCAGGCUACAGGUCAAAUUCACGCUUACCGGUGGUUCAUAAAUGGACUUGCCCCAUCUGGUAGCAGGAUACAGCUGUCCCCGGAUAAGAAGAUACUCACUAUCGGCAAUCUUACAAGAAGGGAAAACAAAGGACCCUAUGUGUGUGAAAUCGAGAACCCAUUGUUUCGGAAUAGGAGUGAUCCAUUCACACUGGAUGUUGCCUGUGAGUAAAUUUGUUCUUCCUAUAAGGUGCCUGCUUAUAGCUUGGUGGUGUGUUCCUAGAGGCCAGGCUAA
Molecule: long non-coding RNA, 1353 nt
Filed under: Monodelphis domestica (gray short-tailed opossum)
Lineage: Eukaryota; Metazoa; Chordata; Mammalia; Didelphimorphia; Didelphidae
Description: lncRNA (ENSMODG00000040029.1)
Source: RNAcentral